GAUGAACGCUGGCGGCGUGCCUAAUACAUGCAAGUCGAGCGAACGGACGAGAAGCUUGCUUCUCUGAUGUUAGCGGCGGACGGGUGAGUAACACGUGGAUAACCUACCUAUAAGACUGGGAUAACUUCGGGAAACCGGAGCUAAUACCGGAUAAUAUUUUGAACCGCAUGGUUCAAAAGUGAAAGACGGUCUUGCUGUCACUUAUAGAUGGAUCCGCGCUGCAUUAGCUAGUUGGUAAGGUAACGGCUUACCAAGGCAACGAUGCAUAGCCGACCUGAGAGGGUGAGCGCCCACCCGAAAUCAGAGACGCGGUCCAGACUCCUACGGGGCAGCAGUAGGGAAUCUUCCGCAAUGGGCGAAAGCCUGACGGAGCAACGCCGCGUGAGUGAUGAAGGUCUUCGGAUCGUAAAACUCUGUUAUUAGGGAAGAACAUAUGUGUAAGUAACUGUGCACAUCUUGACGGUACCUAAUCAGAAAGCCACGGCUAACCACGUG
This 495-nucleotide ribosomal RNA is filed under the name uncultured bacterium. RNAcentral describes it as "partial 16S ribosomal RNA". It matches the Rfam family "Bacterial small subunit ribosomal RNA", at positions 28 to 507 of the family's 1533-position model. The record is from RNAcentral.